AGCCUUGUAGUGAUUNACACAUCAAAUUGCAAAUUUGAAAACGUUCCUUUUGGUUCCGGGGCUU
This 64-nucleotide transfer RNA is filed under the name Bavayia centralis. RNAcentral's name for it is "tRNA-Cys". Lineage: Eukaryota; Metazoa; Chordata; Lepidosauria; Squamata; Diplodactylidae. The record is from RNAcentral.